This 68-nucleotide transfer RNA is filed under the name Apis laboriosa (Himalayan honeybee). RNAcentral describes it as "tRNA-Ser". Lineage: Eukaryota; Metazoa; Arthropoda; Insecta; Hymenoptera; Apidae. The record is from RNAcentral.
AGUUAAUGAACUUGAACAAGUAUAUAUCUUGAAAAUAUAUUAUAGAAAUCUAAAUUUUCUAUUAACUU